Schistosoma margrebowiei is the source of this 45-nucleotide non-coding RNA. The record is from Rfam. Lineage: Eukaryota; Metazoa; Platyhelminthes; Trematoda; Strigeidida; Schistosomatidae.
AUCCAUCUGACGAGUCCCGAAUAGGACGAAACGCGCGUCCUGGAU